Molecule: ribosomal RNA, 904 nt
Filed under: Pediococcus pentosaceus
Lineage: Bacteria; Bacillati; Bacillota; Bacilli; Lactobacillales; Lactobacillaceae
Description: bacterial SSU rRNA
Rfam family: Bacterial small subunit ribosomal RNA
Source: RNAcentral
UAUACAUGCAGUCGAACGAACUUCCGUUAAUUGAUUAUGACGUACUUGUACUGAUUGAGAUUUUAACACGAAGUGAGUGGCGAACGGGUGAGUAACACGUGGGUAACCUGCCCAGAAGUAGGGGAUAACACCUGGAAACAGAUGCUAAUACCGUAUAACAGAGAAAACCGCAUGGUUUUCUUUUAAAAGAUGGCUCUGCUAUCACUUCUGGAUGGACCCGCGGCGUAUUAGCUAGUUGGUGAGGUAAAGGCUCACCAAGGCAGUGAUACGUAGCCGACCUGAGAGGGUAAUCGGCCACAUUGGGACUGAGACACGGCCCAGACUCCUACGGGAGGCAGCAGUAGGGAAUCUUCCACAAUGGACGCAAGUCUGAUGGAGCAACGCCGCGUGAGUGAAGAAGGGUUUCGGCUCGUAAAGCUCUGUUGUUAAAGAAGAACGUGGGUAAGAGUAACUGUUUACCCAGUGACGGUAUUUAACCAGAAAGCCACGGCUAACUACGUGCCAGCAGCCGCGGUAAUACGUAGGUGGCAAGCGUUAUCCGGAUUUAUUGGGCGUAAAGCGAGCGCAGGCGGUCUUUUAAGUCUAAUGUGAAAGCCUUCGGCUCAACCGAAGAAGUGCAUUGGAAACUGGGAGACUUGAGUGCAGAAGAGGACAGUGGAACUCCAUGUGUAGCGGUGAAAUGCGUAGAUAUAUGGAAGAACACCAGUGGCGAAGGCGGCUGUCUGGUCUGCAACUGACGCUGAGGCUCGAAAGCAUGGGUAGCGAACAGGAUUAGAUACCCUGGUAGUCCAUGCCGUAAACGAUGAUUACUAAGUGUUGGAGGGUUUCCGCCCUUCAGUGCUGCAGCUAACGCAUUAAGUAAUCCGCCUGGGGAGUACGACCGCAAGGUUGAAACUCAAAAGAA